AGAGAAAGUCUCGAUAUAGGUUCAUCGUUUUGCCCGAAUUAGGGCAAGGGGAUUUCAUCAAAUGAAAUCCUAGUUUCCAAAUCAUUUUUCUCUAAAAGUUUUCUCGUCUCCACUCUUCUCUCCUUGGUUCCUAGAAAAUAAUAAGAUUCACUUACGGUGGUGUCUAUUGUUCAUUGUAGAAUCGUUCUAGAGAAGAUGACGAGGAAAUCGUGAAGAGUACAAGAAUCGAUAAAGAUUCACCAUUCAUUAUGUUCAUGAUUAACCAAGAUGUUGGGUCAAGAGUAGUGUGGAUGUACUGUUUAUGCUCCUAAACUGUUUGAUGAAAUGCCUCACAAAGCCCUGGAGUUACAACUCAAGAAUAGACAGUUGGCAAGGAUUUCAAUGAUGAAGAAGAAACGUUCAUUCUUUGGAUGCUUCAGACUUUGUACACAGUGAAAUCUAAGGUUUUCUUUCUUAUAUAAUCAUUUAUUUACUAUCUUGAGAAAUUACACAAAGCUGUGCUACAAAGACCAAAAAGACCAACCUUUUAUUACAGUGAGGAUCCCUGCUAACUUGUUUUUUCAUUGCAUUUUUUGAUGUUUACUUCUGAUUUUGCUAGAUGCAUUACCAAAACAUGAAGAAAUAUUUUAGUCAGAGUAUAGUUACCUAGCCCUAUAUGUGCAUUUUCGUGUCUCUUGAAUAAUUUAUGACAACAAUGGAGCACUGCACUCGUUAAUUUUUUAGGUUAGCAUUUUUGUGUCCCGUGAUGAUGGUAUUUAUCAGGUUAGCAUUAUAUCUGUAUAAUUUGAUUGGAAUACGUGGUGUUUAUCAUUUGAAAUGUGGGCGACUUGUCUGCGAUUGCUUUCAAUAGAUUAUUUUCUAAACACGAUCAAAUAUUUUCCUUAUCAUCUUGAAGUAGAGUUAAGUUUAAUGAUGAGUGAUACAAAUUCUAAUUUAUGAAAAUUUACCUUUGUUUCUAGCUUAUGCAUGUAGGUUUCUUUUUCUUUAUGUUUCUCUAAAAGAAGGAUCCUGAUGAAUGUAAUAUCAAUAACAUAUUACUAACAAUCUAUAAAGUCUAGUACAACUACCUUUAUUUGCUUUGAAAAAACUGAGAUUUGUGAGAGGUUUAACUAAUUGGCAUUAUUUGUUUUAUUGGGGUUAUAUUAGUUGAAGGGAGUGACUGAGGUGGCUGUCAACCAAUUUGAGAUUAGUUUAUUUUUCAUUCUAAUGUCCCUAAGUUUAUGUCUUCAAUUGAAAUUGAUUAUGUUACUAUACCCAUCUUUUUAAUGUACACAUUCCCCCUCUCAUCUAAGGCCCCCUCUUCAUUUCAUUUCCAUUUAAAAUUUAAUUAUUAGAUUCAUGAAUUCGAUUCUAAGUUCAUUAAAUAUGAAAAGUUUGAUUAAAUUUGAUGUUCAAGUUUAAUUCAUUUUACCUAAAACUAGUAGUGCUCUCUUCUCUUAUGAGUCAAACAAUCCUUAUUAAAUUUGAUCAAGGAUUUCUAGUUGAAAUGAAGAAGGUAUACAAGGAGGUGAAGGUAAUUAUUGAUGGAAAACAGUUGCUAUAUGGAAUUACCUAAGGUUUGUAGGCUUUUUUAUAUUUUUCUUCGCUAUUUUUUUUUUU
Molecule: non-coding RNA, 1599 nt
Organism: Benincasa hispida (wax gourd)
Lineage: Eukaryota; Viridiplantae; Streptophyta; Magnoliopsida; Cucurbitales; Cucurbitaceae
Source: RefSeq, a predicted model, not a curated record